Non-coding RNA from Ictidomys tridecemlineatus (thirteen-lined ground squirrel), 71 nucleotides. Lineage: Eukaryota; Metazoa; Chordata; Mammalia; Rodentia; Sciuridae. The record is from Rfam.
GGGGUUGUGGCUCAAUUGUAGAGUGCUCACCUAACAUGUGUGAGGCCCUGGGUUUGAUUCUCAGCACCUCA